GAAAAAUGGGGAAGUUUUGAUGCUCUACAGACAUUGUAAUGUCAUUUGUUAUAAUCCAAUUACGAGAAGAUUCAGAUAUAUCAAAUUUUAUGGGCAUGUUGUGUACAGUUAUGUUGUACUUCCCUAUGUCCCAAGCUUUAUCAGGGUGUUGCGUGCCUGAGCCUGAGGCUAAGCCUGAGUCUGAAUUUAUAUAUAAAUAAGAUGUAAUACCAUCGGUAAAUAAUAUUAUCGAUCGUUUUAG
RNAcentral lists this long non-coding RNA (241 nucleotides) under Panax ginseng (ginseng). Its description in RNAcentral is "long non-coding RNA (PGIN_LNC015272)". The record is from RNAcentral. Lineage: Eukaryota; Viridiplantae; Streptophyta; Magnoliopsida; Apiales; Araliaceae.